GCUGGUUGCACCCAAGAGCCAUCCCUGCCUGAGUUCGGUAACUGCCAGCACCACCAGCAAAGGAUUUCCCCCACCAUGUGCUUGCCCACACAAUAGAGGUUUCGCCUUUUAACCCUUUAACCCCUCCCAAGGGUUGACCCCUUCUUUGCUGUCCACUGCUGGAGAUCACUUCCUCAAAUAAGCCGACCCACCCAGACGUCCCAACCCCGGCUGUCUCUUGAUAACAACACGAGGAGAGAAAUCUAUCAAAAAGAAUCCUCACUGACUCCUUCUUUCACAGCGGGACGGGACAACAUGUCAACUGAGGUAAUAGAAGCUGCACCACUGGCUGCAGACACCUCAGCACAAAAGCAGAGGAACAAGGCCUGCAAAAGCUGCUUUCAGCAAGGACAGUUGGAAGAUAAGAAGAAGACAUCUGGCCCAAGAAUGCAGUUGUUAUAGAUGGGUAAUGUGAUGAUUUGCUCUCACAAUUAAAGUAUGAAUAUUGUAUGUAUGUCAAGAGAAGUUUUAUUGAUGUAUGGUUAUGUUAUUGUAGUUUGUUGUUUGGACACCCUCUGUUCUCUCCAUAGUCCCCUUUCCCCCCCUCUGUAUUGUUGCCACCGGACAGCCUUGACUGUCAGGGUUGUCAGGGACAUGUGGAGGGAAGGCAUGUACAUGUGCCCCUUACAUGGGGCAGUUGGGAAUGGGGAAAGCUUGUUGCUGGGGAGGUUUGGCAUGACAACACCUCACCUCCAAUCAAGUUGCAAGAAGGUCUCCACCAAUGGACAGCAAAGAAGAGUUGAAUAACAGACUUUGGGAGGGGCCAGGGUUGGCUGACGCAACACCAGGGGUAUAAAAAGUGGAGCAGCCAUUUUGUGGAUGAGCUUGUAGCAGUUGGUCAC
Serinus canaria (Common canary) is the source of this 881-nucleotide long non-coding RNA. RefSeq lists it as uncharacterized. The transcript is spliced from 3 exons. NCBI's taxonomy places the organism in Eukaryota, Metazoa, Chordata, Aves, Passeriformes, Fringillidae. The record is from RefSeq and is a predicted model, not a curated record.